UACAGAGGGGGCAAGCGUUGUUCGGAAUUACUGGGCGUAAAGGGCGCGUAGGCGGCCUUCUAAGUCGAACGUGAAAUCCCCGGGCUCAACCCGGGAACUGCGUCCGAUACUGGAAGGCUUGAAUCCGGGAGAGGGAUGUGGAAUUCCAGGUGUAGCGGUGAAAUGCGUAGAUAUCUGGAGGAACACCGGUGGCGAAGGCGACAUCCUGGACCGGUAUUGACGCUGAGGCGCGAAAGCUAGGGGAGCAAACAGG
RNAcentral lists this ribosomal RNA (253 nucleotides) under uncultured bacterium. RNAcentral's name for it is "partial 16S ribosomal RNA". It matches the Rfam family "Bacterial small subunit ribosomal RNA", at positions 524 to 776 of the family's 1533-position model. The record is from RNAcentral.